CGACCGCUGGCGGCGUGCCUACUACAUGCAAGUUGAGCGCUGAAGGUUGGUACUUGUACCAACUGGAUGAGCAGCGAACGGGUGAGUAACGCGUGGGGAAUCUGCCUUUGAGCGGGGGACAACAUUUGGAAACGAAUGCUAAUACCGCAUAAAAACUUUAAACACAAGUUUUAAGUUUGAAAGAUGCAAUUGCAUCACUCAAAGAUGAUCCCGCGUUGUAUUAGCUAGUUGGUGAGGUAAGGGCUCACCAAGGCGAUGAUACAUAGCCGACCUGAGAGGGUGAUCGGCCACAUUGGGACUGAGACACGGCCCAAACUCCUACGGGAGGCAGCAGUAGGGAAUCUUCGGCAAUGGACGAAAGUCUGACCGAGCAACGCCGCGUGAGUGAAGAAGGUUUUCGGAUCGUAAAACUCUGUUGGUAGAGAAGAACGUUGGUGAGAGUGGAAAGCUCAUCAAGUGACGGUAACUACCCAGAAAGGGACGGCUAACUACGUG
RNAcentral lists this ribosomal RNA (495 nucleotides) under uncultured bacterium. RNAcentral's name for it is "partial 16S ribosomal RNA". It matches the Rfam family "Bacterial small subunit ribosomal RNA", at positions 30 to 507 of the family's 1533-position model. The record is from RNAcentral.